AAUACGUAGGGGGCGAGCGUUGUCCGGAUUUACUGGGCGUAAAGCGCGUGUAGGCGGCAGGUCAAGUCCGGGGUGAAAGGCGGGGGCUCAACCCCCGAGCUGCGCCGGAAACUGACCCGCUUGAGUGUCGGAGAGGGGAGUGGAAUUCUCGGUGUAGCGGUGAAAUGCGUAGAGAUCGAGAGGAACACCCGUGGCGAAGGCGGCUCCCUGGCCGAACACUGACGCUGAGACGCGAAAGCGCGGGGAGCGAACGGGA
Molecule: ribosomal RNA, 256 nt
Filed under: uncultured prokaryote
Description: partial 16S ribosomal RNA
Rfam family: Bacterial small subunit ribosomal RNA
Source: RNAcentral